RNAcentral lists this ribosomal RNA (460 nucleotides) under uncultured bacterium. RNAcentral's name for it is "partial 16S ribosomal RNA". It matches the Rfam family "Bacterial small subunit ribosomal RNA", at positions 338 to 795 of the family's 1533-position model. The record is from RNAcentral.
CCUACGGGGGGCAGCAGUGAGGAAUAUUGGUCAAUGGACGCGAGUCUGAACCAGCCAAGUAGCGUGAAGGAUGACUGCCCUAUGGGUUGUAAACUUCUUUUAUAUGGGAAUAAAACGUUCCACGUGUGGGAUUUUGUAUGUACCAUAUGAAUAAGGAUCGGCUAACUCCGUGCCAGCAGCCGCGGUAAUACGGAGGAUCCGAGCGUUAUCCGGAUUUAUUGGGUUUAAAGGGAGCGUAGGUGGAUUGUUAAGUCAGUUGUGAAAGUUUGCGGCUCAACCGUAAAAUUGCAGUUGAUACUGGCAGUCUUGAGUACAGUAGAGGUGGGCGGAAUUCGUGGUGUAGCGGUGAAAUGCUUAGAUAUCACGAAGAACUCCGAUUGCGAAGGCAGUUCACUGGACUGCAACUGACACUGAGGCUCGAAAGUGUGGGUAUCAAACAGGAUUAGAUACCCUAGUAGUC